AAAUGUCAAUUGAUGCUUAUGAUGGUAGACUAGAAACUAUCAAGUCUGUCUGAAAGUAUAAAGUCACCUGUUUUGUCUAUCUCUCAAACCACCAGGCAAACAGAAGCCACUGGACAGUAACAACAAAAAAAGAGAUACUUAAGGAUACAGAGUUCAAUUUUGACAUUUCUCUCCUACUGCGUAGAAAAGACAAUUUCAAAUGAUUUACUCCUUUUGAAUGAGUUAAACUUCUGGAUGUCAACUGUAUAUGAUGAUACUUUCACAUGCCUUACCGCAUAUGAGCCUGUACCAUCCCUGAGAUAUUAAAGAAGGAAUUACUGUCCAUUCCAUUGAUGAGGAAACCGACUCCAGAAAAUGAAAUGAUCUAUCCGAAAUCAUUUAGCUAAUAAAUGAUGGCUUAAAAUUUUCAUUUUCUGACUCAAAGUUCCAGAACUCUUUCUUACUUACACAUUUGAUAGUGAUUAAUUAGGGAAGUAUUGUCAGGUGUUCAAUUUCAGCAACAAGUUAAACUCAAUUACAUGCAAUGGACAAAAUAUCCUAAUUUCAUGCUGCAGAUGCUUUUCCCAAGACUGAACAUUCUUUCCUUGGUGGGUUGGAAAGAUGUGAGUUGUGGUUGCAACUGCCUUUUCUUAGUCAAUGAUGCUGUUUCAAGAAGUAGGGGGAAGGAAACCCUUUUCUAGAGACAAGUAAUCCAUGAAUUUGAUGCUUUUACCUUUUCCUAGUUAGGACUAGUAUAAUUUAAGUAUUAUGGGUGUACUUGGAUUAUAAUAUAGUACAGGGACUCUCAAUUUUAUAGGACUUUAGAAUCAUGAGUGGUGAGGGAGGUUGCUAAGACAGAUUUCGAGGCCUCAUCCCUACAGAGGUGACUUAGUAAGGGCCAAAAUAUUAAAUCAACAACAACAACAACAACAACUCUAGUGCCAUGGAAUAUUAUGAGAAUCACUGGCGUUGUGCAUCUGGCAUUCAGCUUGCCCAAAAACAUCUGUUUUAUGAGAAAAUGCAUUUUAACACAGUAAUGCUAUUUUUAAAUCCCUUCCAUCGCCUUCUAAAACUUAAAUCAAUUUGAGAUUUGCCUCUUAAAAAUAUUAGGUAAUUUCCUUUAUAUUAGAAAUCUUGCUACC
This 1121-nucleotide long non-coding RNA is filed under the name Canis lupus familiaris (dog). Its description in RNAcentral is "lncRNA (ENSCAFG00845017351.1)". Lineage: Eukaryota; Metazoa; Chordata; Mammalia; Carnivora; Canidae. The record is from RNAcentral.